Molecule: ribosomal RNA, 468 nt
Filed under: uncultured bacterium
Lineage: Bacteria
Description: partial 16S ribosomal RNA
Rfam family: Bacterial small subunit ribosomal RNA
Source: RNAcentral
AGUGAACGCUGGCGGCGUGCUUAACACAUGCAAGUCGAACGGAAAGGCCCUGCUUUUGUGGGGUGCUCGAGUGGCGAACGGGUGAGUAACACGUGAGUAACCUGCCCUUGACUUUGGGAUAACUUCAGGAAACUGGGGCUAAUACCGGAUAGGAGCUCCUGCUGCAUGGUGGGGGUUGGAAAGUUUCGGCGGUUGGGGAUGGACUCGCGGCUUAUCAGCUUGUUGGUGGGGUAGUGGCUUACCAAGGCUUUGACGGGUAGCCGGCCUGAGAGGGUGACCGGCCACAUUGGGACUGAGAUACGGCCCAGACUCCUACGGGAGGCAGCAGUGGGGAAUAUUGCACAAUGGGCGGAAGCCUGAUGCAGCAACGCCGCGUGCGGGAUGACGGCCUUCGGGUUGUAAACCGCUUUCGCCUGUGACGAAGCGUGAGUGACGGUAAUGGGUAAAGAAGCACCGGCUAACUACGUG